UCAUAUAAUCUUUCCAUUUCUUCUAUAUCCAGAACAAAAGAAAAAGUGGAUAAAUGAGGAUUUGAGAGAGAAAUUGAGAAAGAGAGAGGUACAGAUAGAACAAUGAGAGAGGGGAGGUCAGAGACGGAGAGAGAGAGGGGUCGGAGACCGGUGAGUCUCCGCCUGAAUCUCAUCGAAAAAGGGGUCAUCCACCAUCCAGAAACACCACUAGCCCCCUUUCCCACAUUUUCUGAUUGAACCAUCGCCAAAAACAUCCCUUUUCCAAAACUCAAUCGAAACCAGAUUUAAUGCACUCCAAAUCCCCUCGAAAGAAAUUCAGCCAAUAUUCAACAAGAACAGUCACCCCGUUCCUUUUUUAGCAACUAUUCAUCAAAAAUCCAUCGAAAGAUGACACGGGAUGGGUUUUGGUCUUUUCAGUUUAUGAUUCUUGAUUCCAUUUUGGCAAGGCAAUGCAAAGGGCAUUAGAUCAAAUUUGGAUUUGUUUGUUUGGUUGACGUUUGUUCGAGAUUCCAGUGGCGAUGUCAA
Molecule: long non-coding RNA, 525 nt
Filed under: Capsicum annuum
Lineage: Eukaryota; Viridiplantae; Streptophyta; Magnoliopsida; Solanales; Solanaceae
Description: long non-coding RNA (CANN_LNC014454)
Source: RNAcentral